This 311-nucleotide unclassified non-coding RNA is filed under the name Bombus terrestris (buff-tailed bumblebee). Its description in RNAcentral is "misc RNA ENSBTSG00005021198.1". Lineage: Eukaryota; Metazoa; Arthropoda; Insecta; Hymenoptera; Apidae. The record is from RNAcentral.
UUAUACAGGGUGCUUGGAAACUGGUGGUACAAGCGGAAAGGGGAUGAUUCUACGCGAAAAAAGAAGUCGAAAAUAUAAAAUAAAAAUUUUUCGUUUGAGGCUUUGUUUUCGAGAAAAUCGAAUCUGAAUUUUCGCUCGGUACGCGUGCACUUUAUCACGUCUCGUUAUAACGGAUCUCACUGUAGAUCGUUGUCUCGAUGGAUAUUAUCGCAAAAAAUUUUUAUUCUAUAUUUUCGACUUCUUUUUUCGCGUAGAAUCACCCCCUUUCCGCUUGUACCGCCAGUUACCAACCAUCCUGUAUAAUAAAUGAG